GACGAACGCUGGCGGCGUGCUUAACACAUGCAAGUCGAACGGAAAGGCCCUGCUUUUGUGGGGUGCUCGAGUGGCGAACGGGUGAGUAACACGUGAGUAACCUGCCCUUGACUUUGGGAUAACUUCAGGAAACUGGGGCUAAUACCGGAUAGGAGCUCCUGCUGCAUGGUGGGGGUUGGAAAGUUUCGGCGGUUGGGGAUGGACUCGCGGCUUAUCAGCUUGUUGGUGGGGUAGUGGCUUACCAAGGCUUCGACGGGUAGCCGGCCUGAGAGGGUGACCGGCCACAUUGGGACUGAGGUACGGCCCAGACUCCUACGGGAGGCAGCAGUGGGGAAUAUUGCACAAUGGGCGGAAGCCUGAUGCAGCAACGCCGCGUGCGGGAUGACGGCCUUCGGGUUGUAAACCGCUUUCGCCUGUGACGAAGCGUGAGUGACGGUAAUGGGUAAAGAAGCACCGGCUAACUACGUG
Molecule: ribosomal RNA, 468 nt
Filed under: uncultured bacterium
Lineage: Bacteria
Description: partial 16S ribosomal RNA
Rfam family: Bacterial small subunit ribosomal RNA
Source: RNAcentral